Molecule: ribosomal RNA, 462 nt
Filed under: uncultured bacterium
Lineage: Bacteria
Description: partial 16S ribosomal RNA
Rfam family: Bacterial small subunit ribosomal RNA
Source: RNAcentral
AUGCACGCUGACAGAAUGCUUAACACAUGCCAGUCUUUGGCGAAGCUGUGCUUGCACAGCCUAGCCAAGGCGGACGGGUGAGUAACGCGUAAGGAACUUGCCCUGCAGUCAGGGAUAACAGACGGAAACGACUGAUAAGACCUGGUAAAGUCAGGCGGACUCAUGUCCAGCCUGAUGAAAAGAGAUGCUGCAGGAGAGCCUUGCGUCCUAUUAGCUUGUUGGUGGGGUAACGGCCCACCAAGGCGAUGAUAGGUAGCCGGCCUGAGAGGGUGGACGGCCACAAGGGGACUGAGAUACGGCCCUUACUCCUACGGGAGGCAGCAGUGGGGAAUAUUGGACAAUGGGGGCAACCCUGAUCCAGCAAUUCUGUGUGCACGAUGAAGGUUUUCGGAUUGUAAAGUGCUUUCAGCAGGGAAGAAAAAAAUGACGGUACCUGCAGAAGAAGCGACGGCUAAAUACGUG